Molecule: long non-coding RNA, 400 nt
Filed under: Lepisosteus oculatus (spotted gar)
Lineage: Eukaryota; Metazoa; Chordata; Actinopteri; Semionotiformes; Lepisosteidae
Description: lncRNA (ENSLOCG00000022498.1)
Source: RNAcentral
AUCUUCUACUACUGUAGGUGUUCUUUGUCAUUUCUCUCUAACAUGUUAUACUUGUUGACAGUGGUGUGUAAUCUCAAUUUUCAUUAUGUUAGCUCCAGUGAUCUCUUGUGUAUGCUUUUGGCUUGGUAAAUCUUUUUUAGGUUCAUGUCCUUUGGAUAAUCAAUCCGAGUGAAUUAGUGUUUGCAGUUUUACCAUCCAUGCACAAUGCAGACACAUAUAUUCUCAGACACUCGGAGUUUGUGUCUCUGAAACCAGAUGAGUGGCUCAUAGGCGAGACCAUUGAGUGUUACUUUCAAGUAGUGAAAGAAUCCAUGGACUUGGGGAAGAAGGUUUUCCUAAUGAACCACUACACAACUUGUGUAAUCAUGAGUGGGAAAAGAGAGCUCAUGGCUAGACAAUG